UACGUAGGGCGCAAGCGUUAUCCGGAAUUAUUGGGCGUAAAGAGCUCGUAGGCGGUUUGUCGCGUCUGCCGUGAAAGUCCGGGGCUCAACUCCGGAUCUGCGGUGGGUACGGGCAGACUAGAGUGAUGUAGGGGAGACUGGAAUUCCUGGUGUAGCGGUGAAAUGCGCAGAUAUCGAGAGGAACGCCAGUGGCGAAGGCGAGUCCCUGGACGAUACCUGACACUGAGGCACGAAAGCUAGGGGAGCAAACAGG
This 253-nucleotide ribosomal RNA is filed under the name uncultured bacterium. Its description in RNAcentral is "partial 16S ribosomal RNA". It matches the Rfam family "Bacterial small subunit ribosomal RNA", at positions 524 to 776 of the family's 1533-position model. The record is from RNAcentral.